Rhipicephalus microplus (southern cattle tick) is the source of this 445-nucleotide long non-coding RNA. The record is from RefSeq and is a predicted model, not a curated record. Lineage: Eukaryota; Metazoa; Arthropoda; Arachnida; Ixodida; Ixodidae.
GUGGAUACGUCUGAACUUAUAUGGGCAGUGAAGACCACAAAACCUGGAAACAUCAAGUGCCAGUAUGAUGAAAAGCGUCUUAUAAGCGAAAAUUAUAUAAUUUACAACACAACCUUCUUUCACGGAAGGCAAAGGUACAGCAUCAGACUACGGGGAGACUUUGAUCCGGAAGCACCGAACCGGAUGCUUGUCUCAACCUUAGAUAUGGUUCCGUUCAGUGUUGAAACAUUGUUAUAUGAAACACACAAUAAUUCUUGUGGCGUUGUGAAAAUGGAAAUAUUGACUGGUGAAAGAUCUACCCAAUAUGAUCUUCGAGUGAGAGAUGCUUCCGUUACAUUCCGUCUUCCCCGAAGCUGUAGCAGGUGGUUCCAUCGGGUUGCUGGUCAUGGAAGAUGCAUCUACAGCUCAGAGUGUCGUCAGUUGAAAAAAGCGGGAAAAUGAAUGC